Molecule: transfer RNA, 72 nt
Filed under: Stegodyphus mimosarum
Lineage: Eukaryota; Metazoa; Arthropoda; Arachnida; Araneae; Eresidae
Rfam family: tRNA
About the family: Transfer RNA (tRNA) molecules are approximately 80 nucleotides in length. Their secondary structure includes four short double-helical elements and three loops (D, anti-codon, and T loops).
Source: Rfam by way of RNAcentral
GCCCUCGUAGUGUAACGGUCAGCACACUCGGCGCGUACUGGAGAGGUCCAGGUUCGAAUCUCGGUGAGGGCG